This 292-nucleotide ribosomal RNA is filed under the name uncultured bacterium. RNAcentral's name for it is "partial 16S ribosomal RNA". It matches the Rfam family "Bacterial small subunit ribosomal RNA", at positions 505 to 796 of the family's 1533-position model. The record is from RNAcentral.
GUGCCAGCAGCCGCGGUAAUACGUAGGGUGCGAGCGUUAAUCGGAAUUACUGGGCGUAAAGUGUGCGCAGGCGGCCGAGCAUGUCGAGUGUGAAAGCCCCGGGCUUAACCUGGGAACUGCGCUCGAAACUACUUGGCUGGAGUGUGGCAGAGGAAGGUGGAAUUCCACGUGUAGCGGUGAAAUGCGUAGAGAUGUGGAGGAACACCGAUGGCGAAGGCAGCCUUCUGGGCCAACACUGACGCUCAUGCACGAAAGCGUGGGGAGCAAACAGGAUUAGAAACCCGGGUAGUCC